AACUCUGAUGCAGCAACGCCGCGUGAAGGAAGAAGGUCUUCGGAUCGUAAACUUCUGUCCAAAAGGAAGAAGGAAGUGACGGUACUUUUGGAGGAAGCCCCGGCUAACUACGUGCCAGCAGCCGCGGUAAUACGUAGGGGGCAAGCGUUAUCCGGAAUUAUUGGGCGUAAAGAGUGCGUAGGUGGUCACUUAAGCGCAGGGUUUAAGGCAAUGGCUCAACCAUUGUAUGCCCUGCGAACUGGGGGACUUGAGUGCAGGAGAGGAAAGUGGAAUUCCUAGUGUAGCGGUGAAAUGCGUAGAUAUUAGGAGGAACACCGGUGGCGAAGGCGACUUUCUGGACUGAAACUGACACUGAGGCACGAAAGCGUGGGGAGCAAACAGGAUUAGAUACCCUGGUAGUCCACGCCCGUAAAACGAUGAGCACCAGGUGUCGGGGUCGCAAGACCUCGGUGCCGCAGUUAAACGCAUUAGGUGCUCCGCCCUGGGGGAGUACGUUCGCAAGAAUAAACCUCAAAGGAUUGACGGGGACCGCACAAGCAGCGGAGCAUGUGGGUUUAUUUCGAAGCA
RNAcentral lists this ribosomal RNA (567 nucleotides) under Peptostreptococcaceae bacterium oral taxon 383. RNAcentral describes it as "bacterial SSU rRNA". It matches the Rfam family "Bacterial small subunit ribosomal RNA", at positions 379 to 958 of the family's 1533-position model. Lineage: Bacteria; Bacillati; Bacillota; Clostridia; Peptostreptococcales; Peptostreptococcaceae. The record is from RNAcentral.